This is a long non-coding RNA of Peromyscus maniculatus bairdii (prairie deer mouse), 2798 nucleotides long. RefSeq lists it as uncharacterized. The record is from RefSeq and is a predicted model, not a curated record. NCBI's taxonomy places the organism in Eukaryota, Metazoa, Chordata, Mammalia, Rodentia, Cricetidae.
UAAUUUUUUCAACUUGACAGGUUCUAGAAUCAGACAGAGUUGAGUAAACCCACCCUUAAUACGGCAGCAUGUUUCAGCACGUUUCUAUGGAAUGCUAUCCCAAAGUGAGUGAAAAAUAGAAAGCAAACUGAGUAUCGCUAUUCACCUUUUUGCUUCCUUACUAUAGCAAACAGUAGCUCCCUGUGAUGAAAGACAGAGGAGGCGGGAAACACACUGUGUGUAUCUGCUCUCUCUCCCUGAGUUCUCCAUUGUUCAACUGGACUGUAGUCAUAAAACACAAGUUCAAAAGUAAGACUUUCUUUCAAAGUCAAGAAUUUCAAGAUGACAGGCCAGGUGUGGUGGCUCAGGCACCUGGGAGGUAGAGGCAGGAGGAACAAAAAUUCAAGGUCAUCCUUGACUACACAGUGGGUUUGAGGCUGCUCUGGGCAUAUUAGAUCCCGUUUGUUUAAAAUAAUAAUAAUAAUAAUAAUAAUAAUUUCAAGGCGAUGACAGUGGGUCAUUAAACUGAGGUCCUGUGUGUAGGUGUGUGGUUAGGGGCUGGCCCUACAAAGGAAAUUCCUUUCUUGGGAAAGGUCUCAGGUUCUUUUGGUUGGAGGGCAUCUGAGUUGGGAAGAAGAGUCAUGUCAUAUUGUACUCUGCUGAAAAGAUCCUAAUCCCUCAGGGUUGAAACAGAGAUCUACCUACCCAGUCUGAAGCUGGGAAUGGUGAAGAGAGUGCUUGGCAAGAGGAAAGAGAGGUGGGCUUAUUUCCACUUUCCCUAUCUCUAGCGGAGCAAGCCACUGGUUUAUUGCAGGUUGUAUUCUGAACCAGGAGAUAAUAACUACAAGGUCAGGAGAUGAUGUGAUGGCUCAUCUUGGUUACCAACUUUACUUCAUCUGGAAUCAACUGAAACCGGAGCUGCUGUUCACCCCUAUACUCCAGGAAGUCAUAGGCCAAUGAAAAGGAGGGAGAAUAAGCAAAGGCCUUACUGUGACUUGGCUUCCUGGGAACCUAAUUUUCUGAGCAACAAGAGCUUCUCCAUCUAUAACAUCCCCGCUGAGCCAAGAACUAUCACUAACUCAGCAACUGACUUCUAGCAAACAUAUUGACCAUGAAAGCCACCACUCUGAUGGACCAACCUGCCUUUGGACUUCUUGAGAGCCAACCUCAGAGCCAGAUCACGGAGCACACAAAAUACUCUUGGUGGUAACCCUCACACUGCUCUUGUAAGCUCAGUGGUUAGUGUCUGCUGUAGGUAUUUUGAGUAUCCCAAAGUUUCCGUGUUGGAGGCAUAGUUCCUAUGCAACAAUGUUGUGAGUGGGGCCUUAAAGAGGUGACUAAGGGGUGGGUGGACCAGUGAGAUGACUCAGUCAGUAAAGGUGCCCGCCAUCAAUUCAAUCCUAAAUUCACCUAAACUCAAUCCCUGGGAUCCAGUGACGGAAGAAAAUAGCUGACUACCUCAAGUUGUCUGCUGACCUCCACGUGCACACGGUGGCACGUGCACACCCUCACACAUGCACACAUAAAAUAAAUGGGUAAGAAACAUCGUAAUUUUUUUUGAAAUAAUAAUUUUUUAAAAAGAUAAAUAACAUUAUUAUUACAGAAGUAGACUAGCUUUAGAGGAAUGGAUUCUAUCCCACGCUGCAUGAUGCCUUGUGCCAAGUUAUGACAGCAUGAAUGCCUCGUCAGAUGCAUCCCCUUGACCUUGACUUUCCAGCCUCUAGGAUAGCGAGUGAAAUACAUUUCCACUCAUUAUCUACUGCCCUGAAUGGACCAGCACACUCUCACUGAUCAAAUGCAUUCUAUGUCGGCUUCGGAGCUGAAUGAUUUAUGGAAAUCUGUGCUGUUCAAGAAAACUGAAAUGCUUUGGCAUAGGCCCUGGAAGUAAUUCCCAGCGGAGAGUUUUACAAGCUGGGAAGAUUACUCAGCGGUUAAGAGCACUGGCUGCUCUUGCAGAGUUCCCAGGUUCAGUUCUCAGCAUUCACAACCGUCUAUAACUCUAGUUCCAGGGCAUCCAGUCUCUCCUGACCUUCCUGGGCAACAGGACACAUAUAGUGCUCAUGCAUACAUUCGGGCAAAACAAUACAAUAAAAUAAAGUGUAAACUUUUUUUUUAAAGAUAGGCUUAAAGUAUGGUUUGAGCACUAACCACAUUGUUGAAAUAGCUAUGGUUUCUUGGAGUGACCACUCUGAAUGGAGCAACAUUUAUUUGGAUAAACAAAUGUCAUGCCUUUAUUAAAAUAACCACUUUCAGUUCUAACAUCACAUACUUGAAUGCAUGUGCCUUUCUUAGAAUCCUAAGUGCUGACCCUUCCCUCCCGCCCUCCUUUGGCAUGAUAUUCCUAUGUAGUCUAGGCAGGCCCCAAACUCACAGUGGUCUUCAGUCUAGCCUGGUCAACCUCUCCUUGGCUUCCCGAGAGCUACAUUUACAGGAAUGUGUCACCACACCAGCCGUGAGUUAAACAGUUAUUUCUUUUGUCAGUAGGAGGUCCUUCAGGACGUGGGCCGAAUGACACUCAUAUAAAAGCAGAUCUGAGACCACUCCCCACCCCCUCGGCCCUCUGUCAUUCUCUUGGGACUUUAUCUUUUCACUUGGCUCUCACCUCCUGCUCCGGACUGUCAGAAUCUCUGGAGAGGAGGCUCUCAGUACUGAAACCACUGGACUGAUGUCUCCCUGCAACAACAAAAUGGAUCCUGAAGACGUUCCUCAGGAUGCAGGCGGCCAUGAUGACCAGGAAGAUGGCCAGGAGUGCCACAAAGCCAGGGAAGAUGUUGCUGCUCUGGCCUUUCUCUCUAGGAGGAAAACCGGGUGGUCAUGCC